AGCGGGGUAGAGCAGUUCGGCAGCUCGCUAGCCUCAUAAGCUAGAGGUCGGAGGUUCAAAUCCUCCUCCCGCCAC
RNAcentral lists this transfer RNA (75 nucleotides) under Mycobacterium phage Phabba. Its description in RNAcentral is "tRNA-Met". It matches the Rfam family "tRNA". Rfam says of the family: Transfer RNA (tRNA) molecules are approximately 80 nucleotides in length. The record is from RNAcentral. Lineage: Duplodnaviria; Heunggongvirae; Uroviricota; Caudoviricetes.